GAUGAACGCUGGCGGCGUGCUUAACACAUGCAAGUCGAACGAAGCAUUUAAGACAGAUUACUUCGGUUUGAAGUCUUUUAUGACUGAGUGGCGGACGGGUGAGUAACGCGUGGGUAACCUGCCUCAUACAGGGGGAUAGCAGCCGGAAACGGCUGGUAAUACCGCAUAAGCGCACAGUACCACAUGGUACAGUGUGAAAAACUCCGGUGGUAUGAGAUGGACCCGCGUCUGAUUAGCUUGUUGGCGGGGUAACGGCCCACCAAGGCGACGAUCAGUAGCCGACCUGAGAGGGUGACCGGCCACAUUGGGACUGAGACACGGCCCAGACUCCUACGGGAGGCAGCAGUGGGGAAUAUUGCACAAUGGAGGAAACUCUGAUGCAGCGACGCCGCGUGAGUGAAGAAGUAGUUCGCUAUGCAAAGCUCUAUCAGCAGGGAAGAUAGUGACGGUACCUGACUAAGAAGCUCCGGCUAAAUACGUG
Molecule: ribosomal RNA, 481 nt
Filed under: uncultured bacterium
Lineage: Bacteria
Description: partial 16S ribosomal RNA
Rfam family: Bacterial small subunit ribosomal RNA
Source: RNAcentral